Molecule: ribosomal RNA, 253 nt
Filed under: uncultured bacterium
Lineage: Bacteria
Description: partial 16S ribosomal RNA
Rfam family: Bacterial small subunit ribosomal RNA
Source: RNAcentral
CACGUAGGGGACGAGCGUUGUCCGGAUUCAUUGGGCGUAAAGCGCGCGUAGGCGGCUCGGAAAGUCGGUCGUGAAAUGCCGGGGCUCAACCCCGGGACUGCGUCCGAUACUUCCGGGCUGGAGGUAGGUAGGGGAGAUCGGAAUUCCUGGUGUAGCGGUGAAAUGCGCAGAUAUCAGGAGGAACACCAAUAGCGAAGGCAGCUCGCUGGGACGUUACUGACACUGAGGCGCGAAAGCGUGGGGAGCGAACAGG